RNAcentral lists this long non-coding RNA (376 nucleotides) under Bos taurus (domestic cattle). Its description in RNAcentral is "long non-coding RNA NONBTAT011840". The record is from RNAcentral. Lineage: Eukaryota; Metazoa; Chordata; Mammalia; Artiodactyla; Bovidae.
AUUUUCAUUAUAGAAGGUGGGGGAGGGGUGGAGAAUAAGCAAAGCCAAAGGGAAAAAACCCUGCUAUCCUACCACCCCAAAGUGAUGCUGCUAACGUUUUAUUUUAGAUCCUCCAAUGAGCAUAUGAGGAAAGUCAUGGAAGCUGGACAUCAUUGUAAGCUGGACAUCACUGGACAGGAUCAGACUCUGUAUUUGUAUUUACCUAUUCAUGCAUCCCUGCACUCUGAUUAAAUCCUCAGACUUGAUGUGCAGUCAUUUUCAUUGCUCUGGGUUUUCAGCUAAUGCCCAACCACAAGUAGGUAGGAGGUGAGGGUAGAGAUGAAUUGGAGAAUGUAGUUCUCCUAAGGUGGCCUGAAGGCCCAGGAGGGUGACAAAG